UAAGUUAUAUAAACGACAUUCAAUAAUAACUUUAUCUAAGCAUCAUAUUUAUAUAUAAAAAGGUGGAGUACAUGCAAAACCAUCAAGUUUAAUAUUAUAAUUAACGUGUUCGAGGCACAGCUCGUAACUACACAUACGGUAAACAAAAUAUAUAUAUUCGGUCACAGCCGUCAUCAAAAUGCAUGAUCAUAAACCAAUAUAUAUAAAGUCUCGACCCACCAAAAUUAGAAGAGGCUAAGUUGGUUAUUAGCAAGAUAUAUUUACCAAAAACAUCAACAUAUAAUACUUCAUCAUAUAAUAGAACGGGAGAAUGUGGAGCUCCAUGUCUGCCGUCUUGCCGUCAACUCCUUAACCUGAAAAUAAUCAUAAAUAAUAGGGUAUGAGUGUGCAAGCACACUCAGUGGGGUAAACACUGCAAGCAGUUAUAACCAAUUGUGUAAUGAAUCAUAACAUGUUGAACUCUUAUAAUUUUUCACUUAGCUGACAUCUGAUGAGACUAGUCUCGGUCCCUUGUGGACCUGACCCCUUGUGGGCCGUUCAGCUCUUUGAUCCCUUGUGGAUCCGACCCCUUGUGGGUCCCAUUAGUUCAUAUGAAUGACGCACAACACAACAAUGAUUAUAACCAUGUAACAACUACGCUUACAGAUAAAAGUAAACCCCACCUUAAGUGAUUGAAUUCAAACCUCUUCAAGCUUGCUUCGGUUGUCCUCCUCGAGCCUUGGAUGCGCCGCUCCUAGCACUUGAAACACUUUAAACAUAGUUUCAUUACAAGCACUUAUUCUUGAAUAAGCUCUCAUUUCUUUAAACAAUAUUUUUAAUCUCUCUUGAAU
Molecule: long non-coding RNA, 830 nt
Filed under: Salvia miltiorrhiza (redroot sage)
Lineage: Eukaryota; Viridiplantae; Streptophyta; Magnoliopsida; Lamiales; Lamiaceae
Description: long non-coding RNA (SMIL_LNC012137)
Source: RNAcentral